ACUUUUAUUUCUAAAACUGUUAAAAAAAAUGCUUUUAUGUCCAAAGGUAGAAACAGUUUGGUUUAUGUGGUGGGAUCACCGAUUGCGAUUAUAGUGAGUAAAAAGGUGUUGUCCUGAAUCCAAUGGCUUCAUGCCCAACUCAAGCAUUCAUUCACUCUACUCUUUUUUGCUCUUCCCUCUUCAAUAGACGCUAUGCAGUUUCUUCUUCACCUUCUUGGUACUAGCGAGGUGAUUGCGGGUACCCUUUUUACUCUGCUUUUUUGCGUUUAAGAAUUCUCUCUUCUUUGAAUUGUUUCAGAUGGAGAUUCACAAGGGCUGUAAUCGCCAACAAGUUGUUUAUCAACAAUGUAAAAGUUCGUCUUUUGAGUAACUGUUUUGACGGUUAUGUUGUGGACUAGGCGUGUGUGAAAUUUCAUGGUUUUUUGGAAUUCAAGAACCAUCUUCUCUUUUCUUGACAUGUUCUCGUGUUCAAGAGUGCUCUUCUUUUUUCCUGAUAAUUUGAUUCAAAAUGUUUCCUGGAAUUCUUGAAUCGGCUUAUAUUUUCUUGAUAAGUCGGCGGUAACAGCCGAUUUCAAGAACACUUUAUCUUUUCUUGACUAGUCAAUAUUCAAAAUCGUUUCUGGAAUUCAAGAAUCAUCUUCUCUUACUUGAUAAGUCUGUAAAAGCGCUUUCUCUGAUCUUUGGACAGUUGGGAAACUAGAAUCUUGAUGAUGAUUUAACAGAUUCGUUAAGUUUUUGGUUUUUCUGAUUUUGCCAUGCAAUUAUUUGUUUAUUUUAAGUAACUUGUUUUUCAGUUAGGAAGCACGUUAUAACCUGAACCUUGAGUCUCAAAACCACAUUAUGUACACUUGUUUUGAUAUAUUGAUUUAUGUACUAAUUAUUCUUUUACUUGUGUCUAUUGUUUCUUAGUAGUACAGUAUAUAUGAAGGCAUGACCAUGUGGUCUGUCUCUUAAGUCUAUUAUCUUUAACUUCAUUGAGGAUAUGUCAGCUCAGAACAUAUGCCCCAAAGGACUUGAUAGCCUUGUCAGUCUACAAGUUUUAUGCUAUGAGAGGCCACUUUAUUUGUAUGUACAGCGAUUUGCUUGCUAAUGAUGGGAUCAGCUACAUGAGAUGAUUCCAUGCACAAAGGAGUGAUAUCUAAGCCAACUUUUACAGGUAAUUCAUGUUUGCUUGACGGAACAUUUUUUGAGGAAACCUUUGAACAGCUUCUUAGGGUGGACACAAGUUCCUGUUAACACAUUCAGGGAGGGGGCUGUUCAUGGGGGGACAAAGUGAAGGCGUUUAGAGAUGAGCUUUCCUUGCUUCAGAAAACGCGACAUUUGGAUGUUGUUGGGGUGGAUAAAAGUUGCUGCUAAAACCAUUCAGGGGGGAGCUGCCGAAGAGGAUAAAGUUGAGGUCUUUAAACAGCCAAAUAUUUGGAGAUAAGCCUCCUUUGCUUCAGAAGAUACAACAUCCAAAUGUUGUCCAGUUUCUUGGUAUUGUAAAGCGAAGUGGUCCUUCGAUGAUUGACGGAAUAUUUACCAAAGGGAGAUGCUCUGACGAAAUGCGGAGACACAGUAUAAUCUGAUGCUUGCAGCCACACUUCCCUACCUUCCAAUACUAUGGUCAUCAUUAAUGCAAGGAUGCAUCCAUGGCUGAAGGUGAUAAUUGAGCUGUGGGGGGUGCGCGGGGCAUUAAAUGGAUUAGGUGCUCACAUUGAAGUCCUGCAAGACUUCAACAUCAAGAAGCCCGAAAUGAUAUCAGAGUUUGAUCUUCGUGGUCCCCUUUCAAGAAAGAAUAUUGGUUCUAAAUAGACUUGAGGAAUGUGAUCACUUUUCUCUGUUGUUCAAAAUCAGUAAAAAACUUAUCCGCGCAAAGAAAUAAUUCCCUUUUCAUACUUUCACCACCGUUCCUUUCUGUUGUGGGUGCUGUGAGGAUCUCAUCAAAUCCAGUGGAGGAGUUGGGUUCUUGAUUCCGAAUAAAGUUUGCCUUUUCGCGUUCCACUCUCAGCAAAAGUGAAAUACAUAUUGUUGAGGACCGCCCAGAUAUUGCAAACUAAGAGAUGUAUAGAUUCGCUGUGUAAUCAUCCUGGUUUUAGAAACUAAGAAUACAUAUAUGUGUAGACUCAUAAAUCUUGGCUGUUGUCCAGCUACCUCAUUCUCUUAUUACUAAUCGGACGUUUUGUUUUCUGAGUAUAUAAAAUAAAGGAGCAUGCAGUGAUCGGUAGCAGCUGGUAAUAUAUAGAUUUAGGUUCAUAUGGAGUAGUAGAAGUCAAGUCAUUGGACGUUGGAAUGAUGGCGAUGAUAUGUAUAACAUAUGUUGUGAUGGAUGUAGUUUUUAUCACUGUCACUGUGGUCCUCACACUAGAUACAAAGAAGAUUUUCUUGUUAUGGCCAAUAGGAAGUUCAAUUACUACAACCUUGCUUCUUCAUCUCACAUUUUUUGGGUCAUUUCUGUACCCCAACCUGACUCCUCCAAUGCCAAGUGCAUUGGGAUAUCUUCAGACAUCAAAACACGGGCAAUGAAAGAAAACAUUACUUGUCUAUCAACUCUGUGUGAAUCAUUACUCCUAAUUCGAUGAUUCAAAGGCAAAGUGGACAGCCCAUAUGACCUCAAUCAACGGUUUGCAAAUACGUUAUACACAGCUUCUGAUCGAUGCCUUCAUCCUCUCAUCUUUUUGUUCUACCAAUCCAACUCAUACGUGGUAACUUUAAGUUAAAAUGGGUCUGAUCUGAUAAGAAAUUACAUCAUUAUC
Molecule: non-coding RNA, 2735 nt
Organism: Sesamum indicum (sesame)
Lineage: Eukaryota; Viridiplantae; Streptophyta; Magnoliopsida; Lamiales; Pedaliaceae
Source: RefSeq, a predicted model, not a curated record